Molecule: transfer RNA, 64 nt
Filed under: Amana kuocangshanica
Lineage: Eukaryota; Viridiplantae; Streptophyta; Magnoliopsida; Liliales; Liliaceae
Description: tRNA-Ile
Rfam family: tRNA
About the family: Transfer RNA (tRNA) molecules are approximately 80 nucleotides in length. Their secondary structure includes four short double-helical elements and three loops (D, anti-codon, and T loops).
Source: RNAcentral
GGGCUAUUAGCUCAGUGGUAGAGCGCGCCCCUGAUAGUCUCUGGUUCAAGUCCAGGAUGGCCCA